RNA transcript from Pyrus x bretschneideri (Chinese white pear), 4871 nucleotides. It is a transcript of the gene named MDIS1-interacting receptor like kinase 2, with no coding region annotated. NCBI's taxonomy places the organism in Eukaryota, Viridiplantae, Streptophyta, Magnoliopsida, Rosales, Rosaceae. The transcript has 9 exons. The record is from RefSeq and is a predicted model, not a curated record.
UUUACAUUUGAUGAAAUCAUUAUGCAUUACUGAAGCUUUGUUAUGCACCUAGCUCUUUGCUUCUCUUGCCUACUAUCGUUUUCUACUAUUGAAAUACAACUUUAUACAUGUUUUAUAAACUUUUAAAACCCGCAGCAACGCGCGGGCUCUAUUACUAGUAUAUACUAAACGGCUAACUUUCUGUUUAAUUCCCUUUGUGUCCUUUUCACUGUUCCUUCGCCAGUGUUCUUCCAUUUUUGCCCCUCAGCUGCUCUUCAAGUCUAGCUUUUUUUGUGUUUUCCGCAGUAAAAUGACGGUUUUGGCCAUGGUUUCCACAUGGUUUCCAGUAGAAAUCUCUCGACUUCUGCCGAAAACACUUGAAACACAGAAUUCUCAGCUGCUCUGCAACGGGUUGGCGGUUUCGAUCAUGCAUCCUACACUCCGCCUUGCGAUCUCUUCCAUCUCUGCUUCCUGAUGCUUUCGAUCUCUCAUUCGUGAUCCCUUCAAUCUCUGCUUCCUCAUCUUUUUGGUCUCUGCUUUGCGAUCUCCUUGCCGCCUAAUCGUGCACCCAAUUUCUCUAGCCUUCAACAGUUGACGUGCUUUCCCACUCAUCGCCAAAAGAAACCCGUGCUUCCUCCCUCUUCGUCUUCUCCUCCAGCAAUUUGCGCUCUUAGUUCUCAAUAUGAUUCACAGUAAAAACCCAGAAACUUAGAGAGUAAAAACGUUGAAACUUAAAGUGCUCAAUCUAGAGAAUUGGUACUCAUAAUCAAUAAGAUUCAUACGGCUUAUUGGUAUCAAUUUUGGUUGCAGCAAUGCUAUUCUUGCUGAAGACCUGCCAUAAAUUCAAAGCGUGCAGAGAUCUCGAGUCAAAAACAGAGCAACUCUUGCACAGCGAAAUGACUCCCACCACCCAACAAACGCAACUGCUGCAAUUUCAAUUGCAGUUCUUGAAGAAAGAUCAUGGAGUGAGUUUCUCAUGCUGAGAUUGUAACCCAAUCAAUAAUUGUAUUCACAACUGUCCAAGACACUCUCUGGAAUUUAUUACAACAAAAGGUCAAAUUUUCCUUCCUUGGAAACUCCUCAAGCUAGGAACAAGUCUGGUAUCCAAGCUUUACAUUCAACUUUAUUUAGCAUGUAGCAAGCUUUGUUUGACUGGUGUACUCUCAAUGCUGGAUUUGUAAGUUAUGCAGUUAUCAUUAGUCCAACUUUUUGAAUGAACAAUUAUCUUCUUCUAUGCACUUUGAAGGAAUAGAUUUUUCUCUUGGUAUCCGUUCAUGAUAAGACAUAUAAAUUGCAUUGUCAUUCGUAAUUCUCUGUUUUCACUCAACAUUAUUUAUGAAAUUUGAAGCUAUAAAAUAUCUCAUAUAAUUUUAAAUCCCGCAGCACCGUGCGGGUACAAAUUUCUAGUUCACUUCUAGACGGCUAAAGUUUGAACCUCGUUUUUGCAUAAUCUCUAUUUUUCGAAAGCCAACACACAUAUUUUAAGUCACCACUAGCAGUUGAAUCUGGUCUACCUCAGGUCUUCCAAUGAGUUUGAUGUAUAAGUUCACAAUUUCCUCAACAUUCACACGACCACCAAUACUAUACUUGAAAAGUCAGCAUCAAGUGUAAUAAACAAUUAGUUGGAAAUUCGAAAAAAAAUUCAACCAAUUGCAUUAUAAUACUUAUAUACCCGACUGUAUUUAGAACAUAAUAAAAAAUUUCUCGAAGAGUUGAAACUAAGAAAUUUGUUUUUUGCGUAUAUAUAAUAAAAAUGCAAAAAAAAUGUCCAUAAAUAUUUGAAUUACAAGCAUUUCUAGUUUUUAUUUUUUAUUUUGCUACAUAAAAGUUAGACAAAAUGAAAUACCGAUUUUUCUUUUUUUGUUUUUUAUGCAACCAUCAUUUAGAAAGGGAAUAAUUAAAUUUUGGGUUCUCAAGUAUAGGACGAAUACUCUUAAUUAAUUAGGCUACGUGAUUUGGCUUGCAACAUUAUAAUAUGUUCUUCACUAACACUAACAGACAUGUAAUCAAUCAUAUCCCUACCUACAUGUUGGCGUAUAUAAAUCACUAUAUUAUAUAAAAUAAUCAAGUGGUGCCUGCACUGCGUACAAGCUCAUAUAUUAGAGCACAAAACUCUUCCCAAUGCCAAACCAGCUUAAUUAGGCAGAUGGUUCUUGAGCCAUCUCCUUGUCUCCAGAAAUGAAGAUUUCCUCACAACCUAAAAUCAUGGCAUCCCAAGAAGAAAAAGCACUUUCCACCAAAGCUGCUUCUUCACAGCAUUCAUUUCAACUCCUCCCAGUUAUACUCCUUAUGUUGGCUUCUUCAGAUUCAGCAGCAAAAGCAGAAGUUGCUGGACAAAAAGCAGAAGCAGCUCUUCUGAAUUGGAAAGCUAGCCUUGACAACAAUACAAGCCUCGCUUUCCUGGAUCGGAAACAGUAAUUGCAAUUGGGAUGGAAUUUCUUGCAACGGUUUUGGAAGCAUAACACAAAUAAACCUCACUACUUCUGGCUUAGGAGGUACACUUCAUGCUUUUAAUUUCUCAUCUUUCCCAAGUCUCAUGAGCCUAAACUUAAGCCACAACGCGAUUUUUGGAAUCAUCCCAUCGGAGAUAGAGUUUCGGAAAAGCCUUCAAAUCCUUGAUCUUUCUGGAAACAACAUCAAUGGGUCCAUUCCACAUGAAGUUCGAAUGUUAGGCAACUUAACCAUUCUAUUCCUUCAAGCCAACACUCUCUCUGGAAACCUCCCUACAGAAAUAUGCCUGUUGAAUUCACUCAGUGUGAUCGAUGUAGCGGAUAACAGUCUCACAGGUUCGAUUCCAGAAGCAAUCGGAAACCUGUCCAGCUUAACCGUUCUGUCCCUUUCUCGCAACAAUUUCUCCAGCUCAAUUCCUUCCACUAUAGGCAACCUGAUUAGCCUCAAGGAGUUGUAUCUGAUUGGCAACCAAUUAACUGGAAAUAUCCCACCUGAAGUUGGAAAGCUCAAAUUUCUUACUCACCUGGAGUUGGUGAAUAACAAACUCAAUGGCUCUGUUCCUUCAGAAAUGAAUAAUUUUACAUUUUUGAGUGGUUGGCAUUGAGCAACAACAACUUUUCUGGCAGUAUUCCCCACGAUAUAUGCAUCAGCGGAGUACUCGAAUGGUUUACAGCACACAUCAAUCAGUUGACAGGCCCCAUGCCUAGAAGCUUGAGGAACUGCACCAGAUUAGUUAGAUUAAGGUUUGAGAGGAACCAGCUGACAGCAAACAUAGCUCUAGAGUUUGGCAUUUAUCCAAAACUAACUUAUUUCGAUUUGAGUUACAACAGAUUCUAUGGAGAGCUUUCAGAAAACUGGGAGCAGUGCCAAAGCUUACAAAGCUUGAGGCUCAGCAACAACAGAAUUUCCGGGGGGAUACCUCGGUUUGAGGGAUCAAUUCAGCUCCAUGUGCUUGACCUACCUUAGAAUAAUCUCACUGGGACAAUCCCAAAGGAACUAGGGAAUUUGACAUCCUUGUUCAACCUCAACCUAGGUGAUAACAAACUUUCGGGCAGCGUGCCUUCGGAGAUUGGAAUGCUUACCUAUCUACAACAUCUUAACUUAGCAGCAAAUGAUUUCAGUGGACAAAUUCCAGAAAAAUUAGACGGGUGCAGAGAGUUGUUGGACUAGAACUUGAGCAGAAACAGAUUUAGUGAGAGCAUUCCUCUUCAGAUUGGGAGCAUAAGCUCUCUUCAGGUUCUUGAUCUCAGUCAAAAUUCACUGAUGAGUGAAAUCCCACCACAGCUUGGAAAUUUGAUGAAGUUGGAAGCCUUGAAUAUCUCCCACAACAAUCUCUCUGGUUUGAUCACAUCUACAGUCGAUAACAUGUUGAGCUUGACAGUUGUUGACGUAUCAUACAAUCAUUUGGGGGGUCCUCUUCCCAACAACAAAGCAUUCCACGAGGCUUCUGUUCUAGCUUUUGCAAAUAACACAGGCUUGUGUGGCAAUGCCACAGGUCUGAAUGUUUGCCCGUCCAAAACAAGAAGGGAGAAAAAAAUCAGCAAAUCGGUUAUCUUCAUUGUACUCCAUGUUUUAGGCAUCCUGUUUUUUGCAUUUGUGGUAACUGGAAUUCUAUUUGUGGUCUGCUAUCCGCGGGAAGCGCAAUUAAAUGAAGACCAGUUUGCGGUUUGGAGCUAUGACGGAAGACUUGAGUAUGAAGACAUCAUUGAAUCUACAGAGGAAUUCAACUCCAAAUAUUGUGUGGGGGUGGGAGGUAAUGCAACUGUUUAUAAAGCUGAGCUGCCAACAGGCCGGAUUGUUGCAGUGAAGAAACAUCACAUGCCGCAGGACGGUGGAAUGGCAAAUCUCAAGGCUUUUGAGGGUGAGGUUCGUACUCUUUCAGAGGUUCGUCACAGAAACAUUUUGAAGCUUUAUGGUUUCUGUUCGCAUCCGCAGCACCCUCUUUUGUUGUACGAUUUCGUAGAAGGCGGAAGCUUGGAAAACAUACUGACCGAAGAAAACGAUGCAGUUAAGUUUGGAUGGAUUGAGAGGGUGAAUGUUGUAAAGGAUGUUGCUAAUGAAUUGUCUUAUAUGCACCAUGAUUGUUCACCUCUGAUAGUACAACGAGACAUUUCAAGCAAGAACAUCUUGCUGGAUUUGGAAUUGGAGCUUAUGCCUCUGAUUUUGGAACAGCUAAGCUCUUGAAUCUUGAGACUUCAAAUUGGACUUCUUUUGCAGGCACAUUCGGAUACAGUGAUCCAGAGUUAGCAUACACGAUGGAAACGAACAAGAAAUGUGAUGUUUACAGCUUUGGAGUGGUAGCACUAGAAGUGAUCAUGGGAAAGCAUCCCGGACUCCUCUCCUAUUUUUUUGUCAUUGUCAUUAACAUCAACACCCAAACCUAUACAACUGAAAGACGUCUUAGACAAGAGGCUCCCGCCUCCUGGAAAUCAUGUUGUUGA